AGAGUUUGAUCAUGGCUCAGAUUGAACGCUGGCGGCAGGCCUAACACAUGCAAGUCGAACGGUAACAGGAAGCAGCUUGCUGCUUUGCUGACGAGUGGCGGACGGGUGAGUAAUGUCUGGGAAACUGCCUGAUGGAGGGGGAUAACUACUGGAAACGGUGGCUAAUACCGCAUAACGUCGCAAGACCAAAGAGGGGGACCUUCGGGCCUCUUGCCAUCAGAUGUGCCCAGAUGGGAUUAGCUAGUUGGUGAGGUAACGGCUCACCAAGGCGACGAUCCCUAGCUGGUCUGAGAGGAUGACCAGCCACACUGGAACUGAGACACGGUCCAGACUCCUACGGGAGGCAGCAGUGGGGAAUAUUGCACAAUGGGCGCAAGCCUGAUGCAGCCAUGCCGCGUGUAUGAAGAAGGCCUUCGGGUUGUAAAGUACUUUCAGCGGGGAGGAAGGUGUUGUGGUUAAUAACCACAGCAAUUGACGUUACCCGCAGAAGAAGCACCGGCUAACUCCGUGCCAGCAGCCGCGGUAAUACGGAGGGUGCAAGCGUUAAUCGGAAUUACUGGGCGUAAAGCGCACGCAGGCGGUCUGUCAAGUCGGAUGUGAAAUCCCCGGGCUCAACCUGGGAACUGCAUUCGAAACUGGCAGGCUUGAGUCUUGUAGAGGGGGGUAGAAUUCCAGGUGUAGCGGUGAAAUGCGUAGAGAUCUGGAGGAAUACCGGUGGCGAAGGCGGCCCCCUGGACAAAGACUGACGCUCAGGUGCGAAAGCGUGGGGAGCAAACAGGAUUAGAUACCCUGGUAGUCCACGCCGUAAACGAUGUCUACUUGGAGGUUGUGCCCUUGAGGCGUGGCUUCCGGAGCUAACGCGUUAAGUAGACCGCCUGGGGAGUACGGCCGCAAGGUUAAAACUCAAAUGAAUUGACGGGGGCCCGCACAAGCGGUGGAGCAUGUGGUUUAAUUCGAUGCAACGCGAAGAACCUUACCUGGUCUUGACAUCCACAGAACUUUCCAGAGAUGGAUUGGUGCCUUCGGGAACUGUGAGACAGGUGCUGCAUGGCUGUCGUCAGCUCGUGUUGUGAAAUGUUGGGUUAAGUCCCGCAACGAGCGCAACCCUUAUCCUUUGUUGCCAGCGGUCCGGCCGGGAACUCAAAGGAGACUGCCAGUGAUAAACUGGAGGAAGGUGGGGAUGACGUCAAGUCAUCAUGGCCCUUACGACCAGGGCUACACACGUGCUACAAUGGCGCAUACAAAGAGAAGCGACCUCGCGAGAGCAAGCGGACCUCAUAAAGUGCGUCGUAGUCCGGAUUGGAGUCUGCAACUCGACUCCAUGAAGUCGGAAUCGCUAGUAAUCGUGGAUCAGAAUGCCACGGUGAAUACGUUCCCGGGCCUUGUACACACCGCCCGUCACACCAUGGGAGUGGGUUGCAAAAGAAGUAGGUAGCUUAACCUUCGGGAGGGCGCUUACCACUUUGUGAUUCAUGACUGGGGUGAAGUCGUAACAAGGUAACCGUAGGGGAACCUGCGGUUG
This 1522-nucleotide ribosomal RNA is filed under the name Salmonella enterica. Its description in RNAcentral is "bacterial SSU rRNA". It matches the Rfam family "Bacterial small subunit ribosomal RNA". Lineage: Bacteria; Pseudomonadati; Pseudomonadota; Gammaproteobacteria; Enterobacterales; Enterobacteriaceae. The record is from RNAcentral. RNAcentral also lists the same sequence under 4 other names.